Molecule: ribosomal RNA, 253 nt
Filed under: uncultured bacterium
Lineage: Bacteria
Description: partial 16S ribosomal RNA
Rfam family: Bacterial small subunit ribosomal RNA
Source: RNAcentral
GACGGAGGAUGCAAGUGUUAUCCGGAAUCACUGGGCGUAAAGCGUCUGUAGGUGGUCAAAUAAGUCAACUGUUAAAUCUUGAGGCUUAACCUCAAAAUCGCAGUCGAAACUAUUAGACUAGAGUAUAGUAGGGGUAAAGGGAAUUUCCAGUGGAGCGGUGAAAUGCAUAGAGAUUGGAAAGAACACCGAUGGCGAAGGCACUUUACUGGGCUAUUACUAACACUCAGAGACGAAAGCUAGGGUAGCAAAUGGG